RNAcentral lists this ribosomal RNA (460 nucleotides) under uncultured bacterium. RNAcentral's name for it is "partial 16S ribosomal RNA". It matches the Rfam family "Bacterial small subunit ribosomal RNA", at positions 338 to 795 of the family's 1533-position model. The record is from RNAcentral.
CCUACGGGUGGCAGCAGUGAGGAAUAUUGGUCAAUGGACGGAAGUCUGAACCAGCCAAGUCGCGUGCAGGAUGACUGCUCUAUGAGUUGUAAACUUCUUUUGUAAUAGGGUAAAACGCCCCACGUGUAGGUGCUUGAAAGUACAAUAUGAAUAAGGAUCGGCUAACUCCGUGCCAGCAGCCGCGGUAAUACGGAGGAUCCAAGCGUUAUCCGGAUUUAUUGGGUUUAAAGGGUGCGUAGGCGGUUUGAUAAGUUAGUGGUGAAAUACCGGUGCUCAACCCCGGAACUGCCUCUAAUACUGUUGAACUAGAGAGUAGUUGCGGUAGGCGGAAUGUAUGGUGUAGCGGUGAAAUGCUUAGAGAUCAUACAGAACACCGAUUGCGAAGGCAGCUUACCAAACUAUAUCUGACGUUGAGGCACGAAAGCGUGGGUAGCAAACAGGAUUAGAUACCCUAGUAGUC